Molecule: ribosomal RNA, 440 nt
Filed under: uncultured bacterium
Lineage: Bacteria
Description: partial 16S ribosomal RNA
Rfam family: Bacterial small subunit ribosomal RNA
Source: RNAcentral
CCUACGGGCGGCAGCAGUGGGGAAUAUUGCACAAUGGGGGAAACCCUGAUGCAGCGACGCCGCGUGAGUGAAGAAGUAUUUAGGUAUGUAAAGCUCUAUCAGCAGGGAAGAAAAUGACGGUACCUGAUUAAGAAGCCCCGUCUAACUACGUGCCAGCAGCCGCGGUAAUACGUAGGGGGCAAGCGUUAUCCGGAUUUACUGGGUGUUAAGGGAGCGUAGACGGCAGCACAAGUCAGGAGUGAAAUGCCGGGGCUUAACCCCGGAACUGCUUUGGAAACUGUGCAGCUAGAGUGCAGGAGAGGUAAGUGGAAUUCCUGGUGUAGCGGUGAAAUGCGUAGAUAUUAGGAGGAACACCAGUGGCGAAGGCAGCUUACUAGACUGUAACUGACGUUGAGGCUCGAAAGCGUGGGGAGCAAACAGGAAUAGAUACCCUGGUAGUC